AUACUGCAGCACAAGCAACUUGAUGAGGGCUGUAACUAUUUAAUCGCUAUAUUAAAACAAACUUUCUUGUUAUUACAUCUUUGCAGCGAAGUUCAUGCAUUGUCAAAGUUGACACAUGAAGGAGUAAUUCGGUAUUACAACAGUUGGAUAGAAGUUGAUUAAAUUACUCCAGAUAUGAAUGUUGAAAUCAUCUCCUACGCGGUAAAUGGUGGGGAAGGCGAAGAUGGAGAUGAAUCUGCAGAUUCUGCACUUUUAUCUGAUGAUGAAAAUAAGAUACGAUAUUUCAAGAUGGGUGAAACCGUAGAUCCAGUCACCGUGUAUCUUUUGCUCUUUAUUCAGAUGGAGCUGUGUGAAAUCUAAAUUCGGGGAUGUAACUUUAUUCCGCACCUGAAAGGAAGAAUAAGGCUGCAGAGGUUGAUGCCAAGGCUGACAUCUAUAGUCUAGGCAUCCUCCUUUUUGAGCUUAUUUCAAAUUUUAUCUCAGCUACCCACAGGGCAAAGCUUCUCGAACCACUUACUAAAGAUAGAAUCUUCCCGGAAGAGAUAAACACACGCGAUAAAGAAUUUAUUUUACUUCUGUUAUCCGAGCAACCCAAAGAUCGUCCUUCGGGCAAAGGAGAUCUUAGAAUGGUUAAAGCAGUAGAUAUGGAUAUUGCUGGGGUCUAAGCUUGAUGGUAUGUAUUUCCUUGUUAUCAGAGGUUCAGUUAGUAAUGGGUGUUCAUGUGGCAAGCACUUUUUAAGAUUUCAGGUUGUUCAAAAUAUUCAAGUAGACAUUAGAAUGUUAUCCACAGUUUUAUGUUGAAUAGUUUUGUGAAUCCCAUACAGAUGGGGUUGCUAAAUGCACAGGGUAUGUAUUAGAUUUUUGAAACUAUUAGUUCACGUCUUGUAUUUGUUAUCAUGCCUGGUUAUUUUCAUGGUGUGGAUGUUUUAUGAGUCUGAUAGAUAUUCGUGGUCUGGUCAAUUUUGUUUUGAUCAA
Molecule: long non-coding RNA, 975 nt
Organism: Papaver somniferum (opium poppy)
Lineage: Eukaryota; Viridiplantae; Streptophyta; Magnoliopsida; Ranunculales; Papaveraceae
Exons: 3
Source: RefSeq, a predicted model, not a curated record